CUCUUCGUAGUUCAAUGGAUAGAACGAGUGCCUCCUAAGCGCUAGAUACAGGUUCGAUUCCUGUCGAGGAGGCCA
Molecule: transfer RNA, 75 nt
Filed under: Acidovorax sp. SCN 65-108
Lineage: Bacteria; Pseudomonadati; Pseudomonadota; Betaproteobacteria; Burkholderiales; Comamonadaceae
Also listed under: 1 other name
Description: tRNA-Arg
Rfam family: tRNA
About the family: Transfer RNA (tRNA) molecules are approximately 80 nucleotides in length. Their secondary structure includes four short double-helical elements and three loops (D, anti-codon, and T loops). Further hydrogen bonds mediate the characteristic L-shaped molecular structure. tRNAs have two regions of fundamental functional importance: the anti-codon, which is responsible for specific mRNA codon recognition, and the 3' end, to which the tRNAs corresponding amino acid is attached (by aminoacyl-tRNA synthetases). tRNAs cope with the degeneracy of the genetic code in two manners: having more than one tRNA (with a specific anti-codon) for a particular amino acid; and 'wobble' base-pairing, i.e. permitting non-standard base-pairing at the 3rd anti-codon position.
Source: RNAcentral